Molecule: long non-coding RNA, 205 nt
Organism: Perognathus longimembris pacificus (Pacific pocket mouse)
Lineage: Eukaryota; Metazoa; Chordata; Mammalia; Rodentia; Heteromyidae
Exons: 3
Source: RefSeq, a predicted model, not a curated record
UGCUGUGCUGGUGAAGAUCCUUUCCCAUAUGUUUGGUUGUCUUUCUAGUUUGGUGGCUAUGUCUUUAGCUGUGCAGAAACUUUUUAUUUUAUAGUAGUCCCAUUUGUCGAGUCUUUCCCCUAUUUGUUGUGCCCCUGGGAUUAUAUUCAGGAAGUUCCUUCCUGUGCCUAUAAGUUCUAGCGUCUUUCCUACUCUGUCUUUCAGU